GACGAACGCUUGGCGGCGUGCCUAAAACAUGCAAGUCGAACGAGGGCUUCGGCCCUAGUGGCGAACGGCGGAGUAAUACAUAAGCAACGUGCCCCGAAGACUGGGAUAUACAGUCGAAAGACUGGGUAAUACCGGAUGUGGCUGGCUUUGGACAUCCAGAGCCAAUUAAAUGGAGUUUUCGCUUCGGGAGCGACUUAUGGCCUAUCAGCUUGUUGGCGAGGUAACGGCUCACCAAGGCUACGACGGGUAGGGGGUCUGAGAGGAUGAUCCCCCCGAGUGGGACUGAGACACGGCCCACACACCUACGGGUGGCAGCAGUUGGGAAUCUUG
Molecule: ribosomal RNA, 330 nt
Filed under: uncultured bacterium
Lineage: Bacteria
Description: bacterial SSU rRNA
Rfam family: Bacterial small subunit ribosomal RNA
Source: RNAcentral